AUUGAACGCUGGCGGCAUGCUUUACACAUGCAAGUCGAACGGCAGCGCGGGCUUCGGCCUGGCGGCGAGUGGCGAACGGGUGAGUAAUACAUCGGAACGUGCCCAGUAGUGGGGGAUAGCCCGGCGAAAGCCGGAUUAAUACCGCAUACGACCUGAGGGUGAAAGCGGGGGGUCUUCGGACCUCGCGCUAUUGGAGCGGCCGAUGGCAGAUUAGCUAGUUGGUGGGGUAAAGGCCUACCAAGGCGACGAUCUGUAGCUGGUCUGAGAGGACGACCAGCCACACUGGGAGUGAGACACGGCCCAGACUCCUACGGGAGGCAGCAGUGGGGAAUUGUGGACAAUGGGCGAAAGCCUGAUCCAGCAAUGCCGCGUGUGUGAUGAAGGCCUUCGGGUUGUAAAGCACUUUUGGCGGGAACGAAAAGGACUGUGCCAAUACCACGGUUCGAUGACGGUACCCGCAGAAUAAGCACCGGCUAACUACGUG
Molecule: ribosomal RNA, 484 nt
Filed under: uncultured bacterium
Lineage: Bacteria
Description: partial 16S ribosomal RNA
Rfam family: Bacterial small subunit ribosomal RNA
Source: RNAcentral